This 318-nucleotide ribosomal RNA is filed under the name uncultured Bacteroidales bacterium. RNAcentral's name for it is "partial 16S ribosomal RNA". The record is from RNAcentral. Lineage: Bacteria; Pseudomonadati; Bacteroidota; Bacteroidia; Bacteroidales.
GGAGUUUGGUCCGUGUCUCAGUACCAAUGUGGGGGACCUUCCUCUCAGAACCCCUACUGAUCGUCGGCUAGGUGGGCCGUUACCCCGCCUACUAGCUAAUGCGCCGCAUGCCCAUCCCCUUCCGGCUCGCCUUUCCAGGCCCGGCCAUGCGGCUGGGCCGACUAUGGGAUAUUAGGCCACAUUUCUAUGGGUUAUCUCCCAGAAGGGGGCAGGUUGCAUACGUGUUACUCACCAGUGCGCCGGUCGCCGACAGCAAGUGUUGCCACUCGCCCGCUGCCCCUCGACUUGCAUGUGUUAAGCCUGUCGCUAGCGUUCAUC